This 20-nucleotide microRNA is filed under the name Homo sapiens (human). Its description in RNAcentral is "hsa-miR-7973". Lineage: Eukaryota; Metazoa; Chordata; Mammalia; Primates; Hominidae. The record is from miRBase by way of RNAcentral.
UGUGACCCUAGAAUAAUUAC